RNAcentral lists this ribosomal RNA (801 nucleotides) under uncultured bacterium. Its description in RNAcentral is "bacterial SSU rRNA". It matches the Rfam family "Bacterial small subunit ribosomal RNA", at positions 356 to 1178 of the family's 1533-position model. The record is from RNAcentral.
GGGGGAUAUUGCACAAUGGGGGAAACCCUGAUGCAGCAACGCCGCGUGAGGGAAGAAGGUUUUCGGAUUGUAAACCUCUGUUCUUAGUGACGAUAAUGACGGUAGCUAAGGAGAAAGCUCCGGCUAACUACGUGCCAGCAGCCGCGGUAAUACGUAGGGAGCGAGCGUUGUCCGGAUUUACUGGGUGUAAAGGGUGCGUAGGCGGCGAGGCAAGUCAGGCGUGAAAUCUAUGGGCUUAACCCAUAAACUGCGCUUGAAACUGUCUUGCUUGAGUGAAGUAGAGGUAGGCGGAAUUCCCGGUGUAGCGGUGAAAUGCGUAGAGAUCGGGAGGAACACCAGUGGCGAAGGCGGCCUACUGGGCUUUAACUGACGCUGAAGCACGAAAGCAUGGGUAGCAAACAGGAUUAGAUACCCUGGUAGUCCAUGCCGUAAACGAUGAUUACUAGGUGUGGGGGGUCUGACCCCCUCCGUGCCGCAGUUAACACAAUAAGUAAUCCACCUGGGGAGUACGGCCGCAAGGUUGAAACUCAAAGGAAUUGACGGGGGCCCGCACAAGCAGUGGAGUAUGUGGUUUAAUUCGAAGCAACGCGAAGAACCUUACCAGGUCUUGACAUCCGUCUAACGAAGCAGAGAUGCAUUAGGUGCCCUUCGGGGAAAGGCGAGACAGGUGGUGCAUGGUUGUCGUCAGCUCGUGUCGUGAGAUGUUGGGUUAAGUCCCGCAACGAGCGCAACCCUUGUUUCUAGUUGCUACGCAAGAGCACUCUANAGAGACUGCCGUUGACAAAACGGAGGAAGGUGGGG